AAAAGAGAUGACCCCAAGGAAAUGAGGAAGGCGAGUGUUAUCAUCUGUGGACUGACUACAAUUCACUCACAGCAAUAGCUAAUAUUGGAGUUCUUAUUUUUCAGGAUGGAUCCUUCCUUUUCCUCUCAGUGCCUGGGGCUGGGGAAUGAAGUGUCCUCUGCCUGAGGAGGUGGAGUGGAGGCCUUCGUUUUAAGACCAGGGUUCUGAUUACACCUGACAGGGCCGAAACUUGAUGCCCGCAGAGCUUACUGAUAUCUUAUCUUCUUCCACUAGCCAGGAUUACAGCAGGAAUGUAACAGAAGUUGUCACUGAUUCAGUUUGUAUAUGCUUAGUAUGAUUCUUUUUUGUCCUCCUUGAAAUUAGCUCCAGAGAGAGUUCUU
RNAcentral lists this long non-coding RNA (380 nucleotides) under Homo sapiens (human). RNAcentral describes it as "HSALNT0010878". Lineage: Eukaryota; Metazoa; Chordata; Mammalia; Primates; Hominidae. The record is from RNAcentral.